UGUCAGCAGCCGCGGUGACACGUAGGCUCCAAGCGUUGUCCGGAUUUAUUGGGCGUAAAGAGCUCGUAGGCGGUUUAGUAAGUCGGGUGUGAAAACUCUGGGCUUAACCCGGAGACGCCAUCCGAUACUGCUAUGACUUGAGUUCAGGAGGGGAGCGGGGAAUUCCUAGUGUAGCGGUGAAAUGCGCAGAUAUUAGGAGGAACACCGGUGGCGAAGGCGCCGCUCUGGACUGAAACUGACGCUGAGGAGCGAAAGCAUGGGUAGCAAACAGGAUUAGAUACCCUGGUAGUCCAUGCCGUAAACGGUGGGCACUAGGUGUGGGUUCCAACUAACGGGAUCCGCGCCGUCGCUAACGCAUUAAGUGCCCCGCCUGGGGAGUACGGUCGCAAGACUAAAACUCAAAGAAAUUGACGG
This 414-nucleotide ribosomal RNA is filed under the name uncultured Acidimicrobiaceae bacterium. RNAcentral describes it as "bacterial SSU rRNA". It matches the Rfam family "Bacterial small subunit ribosomal RNA", at positions 506 to 916 of the family's 1533-position model. Lineage: Bacteria; Bacillati; Actinomycetota; Acidimicrobiia; Acidimicrobiales; Acidimicrobiaceae. The record is from RNAcentral.